Molecule: ribosomal RNA, 997 nt
Filed under: Solibacillus silvestris
Lineage: Bacteria; Bacillati; Bacillota; Bacilli; Caryophanales; Caryophanaceae
Description: bacterial SSU rRNA
Rfam family: Bacterial small subunit ribosomal RNA
Source: RNAcentral
AGCGGAAUUUUAUUGGUGCUUGCACCUUUAAAAUUUUAGCGGCGGACGGGUGAGUAACACGUGGGUAACCUACCUUAUAGAUUGGGAUAACUCCGGGAAACCGGGGCUAAUACCGAAUAAUACUUUUUAACACAUGUUUGAAAGUUGAAAGACGGUUUCGGCUGUCACUAUAAGAUGGACCCGCGGCGCAUUAGCUAGUUGGUGAGGUAACGGCUCACCAAGGCAACGAUGCGUAGCCGACCUGAGAGGGUGAUCGGCCACACUGGGACUGAGACACGGCCCAGACUCCUACGGGAGGCAGCAGUAGGGAAUCUUCCACAAUGGACGAAAGUCUGAUGGAGCAACGCCGCGUGAGUGAAGAAGGAUUUCGGUUCGUAAAACUCUGUUGCAAGGGAAGAACAAGUAGCGUAGUAACUGGCGCUACCUUGACGGUACCUUGUUAGAAAGCCACGGCUAACUACGUGCCAGCAGCCGCGGUAAUACGUAGGUGGCAAGCGUUGUCCGGAAUUAUUGGGCGUAAAGCGCGCGCAGGUGGUUCCUUAAGUCUGAUGUGAAAGCCCCCGGCUCAACCGGGGAGGGUCAUUGGAAACUGGGGAACUUGAGUGCAGAAGAGGAUAGUGGAAUUCCAAGUGUAGCGGUGAAAUGCGUAGAGAUUUGGAGGAACACCAGUGGCGAAGGCGACUGUCUGGUCUGUAACUGACACUGAGGCGCGAAAGCGUGGGGAGCAAACAGGAUUAGAUACCCUGGUAGUCCACGCCGUAAACGAUGAGUGCUAAGUGUUGGGGGGGUUUCCGCCCCUCAGUGCUGCAGCUAACGCAUUAAGCACUCCGCCUGGGGAGUACGGUCGCAAGACUGAAACUCAAGGAAUUGACGGGGGCCCGCACAAGCGGUGGAGCAUGUGGUUUAAUUUCGAAGCAACGCGAAAACCUUACCAGGUUUUGACAUCCCGGUGACCACUAUGGAGACAUAGUUUCCCCUUUCGGGGGCACGGUGACAG